RNAcentral lists this ribosomal RNA (255 nucleotides) under uncultured bacterium. Its description in RNAcentral is "partial 16S ribosomal RNA". It matches the Rfam family "Bacterial small subunit ribosomal RNA", at positions 111 to 367 of the family's 1533-position model. The record is from RNAcentral.
UAACACGUGAGUAACCUGCCCCAAACUCUGGGAUAAGCACUGGAAACGGUGUCUAAUACCGGAUACGAGCUUCAGCCGCAUGGCUAGGAGUUGGAAAGAAUUUCGGUUUGGGAUGGACUCGCGGCCUAUCAGCUAGUUGGUGAGGUAAUGGCUCACCAAGGCGACGACGGGUAGCCGGCCUGAGAGGGUGACCGGCCACACUGGGACUGAGACACGGCCCAGACUCCUACGGGAGGCAGCAGUGGGGAAUAUUGC